RNAcentral lists this ribosomal RNA (254 nucleotides) under uncultured Gardnerella sp. Its description in RNAcentral is "partial 16S ribosomal RNA". It matches the Rfam family "Bacterial small subunit ribosomal RNA", at positions 99 to 355 of the family's 1533-position model. Lineage: Bacteria; Bacillati; Actinomycetota; Actinomycetes; Bifidobacteriales; Bifidobacteriaceae. The record is from RNAcentral.
CGAACGGGUGAGUAAUGCGUGACCAACCUGCCCCAUGCUCCAGAAUAGCUCUUGGAAACGGGUGGUAAUGCUGGAUGCUCCAACUUGACGCAUGUCUUGUUGGAAAGUGUUUAGUGGCAUGGGAUGGGGUCGCGUCCUAUCAGCUUGUAGGCGGGGUAAUGGCCCACCUAGGCUUCGACGGGUAGCCGGCCUGAGAGGGCGGACGGCCACAUUGGGACUGAGAUACGGCCCAGACUCCUACGGGAGGCAGCAGC